This 253-nucleotide ribosomal RNA is filed under the name uncultured bacterium. RNAcentral's name for it is "partial 16S ribosomal RNA". It matches the Rfam family "Bacterial small subunit ribosomal RNA", at positions 524 to 776 of the family's 1533-position model. The record is from RNAcentral.
UACGUAGGGUGCGAGCGUUAAUCGGAAUUACUGGGCGUAAAGCGUGCGCAGGCGGUUUCGUAAGACAGACGUGAAAUCCCCGGGCUCAACCUGGGAACUGCGUUUGUGACUGCGAGGCUAGAGUACGGCAGAGGGGGGUAGAAUUCCACGUGUAGCAGUGAAAUGCGUAGAGAUGUGGAGGAAUACCGAUGGCGAAGGCAGCCCCCUGGGUUAGUACUGACGCUCAUGCACGAAAGCGUGGGGAGCAAACAGG